RNAcentral lists this transfer RNA (63 nucleotides) under Nephaspis sp. DPP-2018. RNAcentral describes it as "tRNA-Gly". The record is from RNAcentral. Lineage: Eukaryota; Metazoa; Arthropoda; Insecta; Coleoptera; Coccinellidae.
AUUUAAAUAGUAUAAUAAUUAUAAUUGAUUUCCAAUCAAAAGAUCUAUAAAUUAGUUUAAAUA